GAUCUGAAGCGGUGUUCUCGGAUUCGACGGCGACGUGGUGCUGCGUGGUGCACGGAGGCUGGUGAGGAUCUGGUGGUUCUGGUGGUUCUACAGAUAGAAGUUGUUUUCUGGUUAAAGUGAUCUAAAAUCGAUUCAAGUUGUUAUCUAGACUUGCAGUUAGAAAAAGAAACCUUCGUGCUGCCAACAUUUGGCAGCACAGCUAUUGUUCUGGUCAUGGAUGCAGAUGUCUGCUUUGUUUUUAGCCUUUGAUUUGGUGUGAGCCUUGUUUUGGAUGCUAUGGUUGUCAUUUAUUUGAUGAAAUUUUCUGUGUAGUUGCAUCCAAGAGCGAAUACUAUACUGAAGAUGAUUUUCUGGACGGCCUUUCUUGUUGUCAUGGGCUUGGUGAGUUGCUGUUUAGAAGCUCUGGAACCAGAGUGCUGGAGCCUCACUCGUUCCUUUGGGGUGCAUCCUGUGGAACCAGAGUGCUGGAGCUCGUGAAGAAACAUAAUUCUCCCGGCCUUCUAUGGAAGAGAAUAAAGCUCACUUCCACCCGUAAAGCCAAUGCUAAGAAACGCCUUCGUCGCGUUUGGCAGAAUGAAGCUGUUUUGCGGGCAUAUGCUGAGACACCUCCCCAGGAAGUAUCACGGGCUGAAGGUAGUGGAAAUAUUGCCAAGGAUAACCAAAGCCCCCAAGGUUAGACGAAAUGAGUAAGGGCUCUAAGCAAGCAUGACAAGGGGACUAGAAAAAGUAAUGCGGCAAUAUAUAAUGUUCGUUUUGCCAUCUUUGUGCCUCAACUUCAUAACUAAUGUUUUGUUGAUGGAGCAUCCCGGCGCCGCUGGCGAGAAGCAGAAGACACAACCGAUUAAGUUAGCAAUCUGGCACUGUUUGGUGACGCAAGAGGAUGGGGCGGUAGGAGUCGGCGGCGGAGAAGUAGUCGAGGGAGUUGAACCAUAGGAAAUUGUCCGCCGAGAUCGAUCUCCACGUUCAGUGUGGUGGCGUUGGAGCCUAUUUGGAUAGUCGUGUAGUAUUGGUUGGUUGUGCCAUCUUUUACUGAUUGGGAAAAUUGAAGGCUUUAGGGGAUGUUAGAGCAUUUGAAAACAGGAUGAAAGGAGCAACGAGGAAAUUAUCAAGAUCGGAACACUAGGGGAAGCCAUUAUGGUUGUAUUGUGAGUGAAGCUCUUGGAAUGGAUGCAUGUUUAUGUAUUCAGUUUUGGAAUAGGAUGCCAGCUAAUCAGCAUUAUAUUUCAAAUCAUAUUUUCAGGUUGGUCCCCAGCUGAAUCCAUUGUUUAUUUCUCCACUUACGUAUAUUUAAGUAAUNCGAAACUAACAUUCGUCAAGAUUCUUUCCUUGGCAGCCCGAGAAAAUCUCUUCAACAAAUAUUGUUUAGGAAUGUUUUUCACAUUCAUAAGAUAAUAUAUCUUGAAAAUGUGAGAACACAAAUAUCCCGCAGUGUCAAAUAUGCGACAAGUGCACGUAGAAGGAUAAUUUUCCUUGUUGAACUGAAUAUGUCUCCGCUUCCCACCAACACAACCCGAGGACAAAAUGAAUUCAAGGUCAUCCGAAUCAUACUUUGAUGGACCUUUGAUUAUAUCCACAUUCAAAGAAUGAUUGGCCUCAUGCUCAAAUUUACGAAAAACACUUCUCGUCAAGACUUUAGCUGCAUUCUUCAUUAGUUCAUUGUGAUCCACAUAUAGCCCAGACAUUCCUAUACAUAGUGCAUGCUCUUCACUUUCUUUACGCCUCCAUUCAAUUUGAAUUUCAUCAAACUUAAACACAAAAUCAUGCAAGGAUGUGCUCGCAUGUAAUACCCCGCUCAUUUCUAUUUAGUUUAUAAUUUAUUUUAGGGUUUUUUGCAAAUAAAAUCACGAACAAUUUUAAAUUUGCAAUUUUAACGUGACUUUUGAAGUGUGGCGAAUUAAAUCAUAACCUUUUCAAUUUUUACAAUUUCGUCCCCUCAAUUUUUUCCGACCACCGAAGUGAUGAGUUGGAGCUUAUGUGGAUUAUUUUUUUCCACGUAAUUAAUUUCUAACUAAGAUUAAAUUGCUGACUAAGAUUAAAACAAAAUCAAAACCUAAUUCUUUUAUUUUACUUCUUUUUCGUCUUUUAUAAAAAUAUAUUUGAUGUGUAUCUUAAGUUAAACAUUAUGACAAGAUCUUAAAUUUGAUUUAAAAUUCAUUAAAUAUGAAUUUGAAAUAAAUAAUUUAUUAUAAUUUAAAAUUUUAAAGUGAUUGUUUUUCUCCCUCCUAUCUCUUUUACAAUAUUCUUUAUUUUUUUUCUCUUUCUCCUUAUUUUGUUAUUAUAUUAUUUCUAUUUGUAUCUCUUUCUCCUACAAAAUUUAUAUAUCUUCUCUUCUCUUUUGAUUAAAAAAACAUAAUACUAUAUUUAGAGUUAAUAUAUAAAACUAUCCACUUUCAUAUUGUAAAGAUAAAAAUUGUCCAUUAAGAUAAAAAUAAUAAAAACUGUCCACUUUUUGAUUGAAAAGACAGAAAUACCCCUUACUUUAAAAUUUAAAAAAAUGGCCACUCAUUUCUCUCUUUCUCUCAUCUCUCUCUUCACCUUCACGAAUCACGUCUCUCUCUCUCUCUCCCUCUUCCUCUCCUUCUCGUCCUCACCGCCGCUCCACAGUUGCCGCCCACCACCACCGCUACACUGCUGUUCUGAGACGGAGGGAGCCGCGCACGCGGCAGCAUUGCUCUGCCACUACUCACUCGCCCCACCCCUGAAUUCCAAUUCGCCUCGCCGGAGUUGUUGCAGCGGCUGGGCAGAUCUGGCGCGGCCGUGAGCUGCCCACUGAACGGCAGAUCUGGUCCGGGCAAUAGAGGAUGGGGUCGGACGGCGGUACGUGGCGCGGAGGCUGGUGAGGAUCUGGUGGUUCUGGCGGCGGAGCUAGGGGGUUUUGCUGCGGAAACCCUAGAUCUGAAGCGGUGUUCUCGGAUUCGACGGCGACGUGGUGCUGCGUUGUGCACGGAGGCUGGUGAGGAUCUGGUGGUUCUGGUGGUUCUACAGAUAGAAGUUGUUUUCUGGUUAAAGUGAUCUAAAAUCGAUUCAAGUUGUUAUCUAGACUUGCAGUUAGAAAAAGAAACCUUCGUGCUGCCAACAUUUGGCAGCACAGCUAUUGUUCUGGUCAUGGAUGCAGAUGUCUGCUUUGUUUUUAGCCUUUGAUUUGGUGUGAGCCUUGUUUUGGAUGCUAUGGUUGUCAUUUAUUUGAUGAAAUUUUCUGUGUAGUUGCAUCCAAGAGCGAAUACUAUACUGAAGAUGAUUUUC
Molecule: long non-coding RNA, 3243 nt
Filed under: Salvia miltiorrhiza (redroot sage)
Lineage: Eukaryota; Viridiplantae; Streptophyta; Magnoliopsida; Lamiales; Lamiaceae
Description: long non-coding RNA (SMIL_LNC008894)
Source: RNAcentral